Molecule: long non-coding RNA, 382 nt
Organism: Microtus oregoni (creeping vole)
Lineage: Eukaryota; Metazoa; Chordata; Mammalia; Rodentia; Cricetidae
Exons: 3
Source: RefSeq, a predicted model, not a curated record
AUGUAAUUUCCUAAAGUUCAGCUUGAAGCUGUUGCUCAGAGUGGGGUCUUUUCAUAGAUUCAAAAGAAGCCCGAGGGCUGUUACACUGAAAAAAGAAAGAAAAGCGGAAAAACAACUGCACCACAUGCGAAUAUAAAAAAGAAGAGAACUCUAGCCAAUUGCACCAUCACCGGAUGGAAGAGCCCAGCUGUCACAACCUGUCUAGGAGCUUUGGGUUUACUCUGUUUACUCCAGGAAAGCCUCAACUCAACUACUGCAACUUCUGAAGCAUGGCCUGAAUAGAUUCAGUCAUUUGUAUCAGUCCAUUAGCGGAUAGGAAACUGAAGAAAUAAAGAAGUACACAUAAAGAGCAUGCCACUUAGUACUCUGGUUUGAUAGCUAC